RNAcentral lists this small RNA (333 nucleotides) under uncultured Glomus. Its description in RNAcentral is "SSU rRNA". It matches the Rfam family "Eukaryotic small subunit ribosomal RNA", at positions 548 to 886 of the family's 1831-position model. The record is from RNAcentral. Lineage: Eukaryota; Fungi; Glomeromycota; Glomeromycetes; Glomerales; Glomeraceae.
UUGGAGGGCAAGUCUGGUGCCAGCAGCCGCGGUAAUUCCAGCUCCAAUAGCGUAUAUUAAAGUUGUUGCAGUUAAAAGGCUCGUAGUUGAAUUUCGAGACUGGUUUAUUGGUCGUGCUUUUGUACGUACUGGUAUUAUUGGUUUCUCCUUUCUGACGAAUCAUAAUGCCAUUAAUUUGGUGUUUUGGGGAAUCAGGACUGUUACUUUGAAAAAAUUAGAGUGUUUAAAGCAGGCUCACGCUUGAAUACAUUAGCAUGGAAUAACGGAAUAGGACGUUUGAUUCUAUUUUGUUGGUUUCUAGGAUCGACGUAAUGAUUAAUAGGGAUAGUUGGG